Molecule: ribosomal RNA, 211 nt
Filed under: uncultured bacterium
Lineage: Bacteria
Description: partial 16S ribosomal RNA
Rfam family: Bacterial small subunit ribosomal RNA
Source: RNAcentral
CACGUAGGGCGCAAGCGUUGUCCGGAAUUAUUGGGCGUAAAGAGCUCGUAGGCGGUCUGUUGCGUCCGCUGUGAAACUCGGGGCUUAACCCCGAGCCUGCAGUGGAUACGGGGCAGACUAGAGGUAGGUAGGGGAGAAUGGAAUUCCCGGUGUAGCGGCGAAAAUGCGCGAUAUCGGGAGGAACACCGGUGGCGAAGGCGGUUCUCUGGGC